UACGUAGGGGGCAAGCGUUGUCCGGAUUUAUUGGGCGUAAAGCGCGUGUAGGCGGCCAGGUAGGUCCGCUGUGAAAACCCGAGGCUCAACCUCGGGACGUCGGCGGAAACCAUCUGGCUAGAGUCCGGAAGAGGAGAGUGGAAUUCCUGGUGUAGCGGUGAAAUACGUAGAGAUUGGGAAGAACACCAGUGGCGAAGGCGGCUAUCUGGACGGUUUCUGACACUAAGACUCGAAAGCGUGGGGAGCAAACAGG
RNAcentral lists this ribosomal RNA (253 nucleotides) under uncultured bacterium. RNAcentral's name for it is "partial 16S ribosomal RNA". It matches the Rfam family "Bacterial small subunit ribosomal RNA", at positions 524 to 776 of the family's 1533-position model. The record is from RNAcentral.